CCUACGGGAGGCAGCAGUGAGGAAUAUUGGUCAAUGGGCGGAAGCCUGAACCAGCCAAGUCGCGUGAGGGAAUAAGGCCCUAUGGGUUGUAAACCUCUUUUGCCGGGGAGCAAGGGCGGGGACGUGUCCCGGCCCGGAGAGUACCCGAAGAAAAAGCAUCGGCUAACUCCGUGCCAGCAGCCGCGGUAAUACGGAGGAUGCGAGCGUUAUCCGGAUUUAUUGGGUUUAAAGGGUGCGUAGGCGGACUUUUAAGUCAGCGGUAAAAAUUCGGGGCUCAACCCCGUCCGGCCGGUGAACCUGGGAGCCUUGAGUGAGCGAGAAGUAGGCGGAAUGCGUGGUGUAGCGGUGAAAUGCAUAGAUAUCACGCAGAACCCCGAUUGCGAAGGCAGCAUACCGGCGCUCAACUGACGCUCAUGCACGAAAGCGUGGGUAUCGAACAGGAUUAGAUACCCUGGUAGUC
Molecule: ribosomal RNA, 460 nt
Filed under: uncultured bacterium
Lineage: Bacteria
Description: partial 16S ribosomal RNA
Rfam family: Bacterial small subunit ribosomal RNA
Source: RNAcentral